CCUACGGGAGGCAGCAGUGAGGAAUAUUGGUCAAUGGACGAGAGUCUGAACCAGCCAAGUAGCGUGAAGGAUGACUGCCCUAUGGGUUGUAAACUUCUUUUAUAUGGGAAUAAAAUGUUCCACGUGUGGGAUUUUGUAUGUACCAUAUGAAUAAGGAUCGGCUAACUCCGUGCCAGCAGCCGCGGUAAUACGGAGGAUCCGAGCGUUAUCUGGAUUGAUUGGGUUUAAAGGGAGCGUAGGUGGAUUGUUAAGUCAGUUGUGAAAGUUUGCGGCUCAACCGUAAAAUUGCAGUUGAAACUGGCAGUCUUGAGUACAGUAGAGGUGGGCGGAAUUCGUGGUGUAGCGGUGAAAUGCUUAGAUAUCACGAAGAACUCCGAUUGCGAAGGCAGCUCACUGGACUGCAACUGACACUGAGGCUCGAAAGUGUGGGUAUCAAACAGGAUUAGAUACCCUGGUAGUC
This 460-nucleotide ribosomal RNA is filed under the name uncultured bacterium. RNAcentral's name for it is "partial 16S ribosomal RNA". It matches the Rfam family "Bacterial small subunit ribosomal RNA", at positions 338 to 795 of the family's 1533-position model. The record is from RNAcentral.